Molecule: long non-coding RNA, 808 nt
Organism: Solanum lycopersicum (tomato)
Lineage: Eukaryota; Viridiplantae; Streptophyta; Magnoliopsida; Solanales; Solanaceae
Source: RefSeq, a predicted model, not a curated record
CAUAACCUGCCUUCUUAUUCACACAUAUAUAUUGUAGGCAGGUCAUGGUCAACAUGACUGCCUGUCAGCAAGGGUAUAUUCUUCAUUCAACAUUGCUAAUUUUAAGAUAAACUUGUGCCUUUAUUUCCAUCUUCUACGUUAGUGGUUUAAUGGAGCUUCUUCAGCUAUUUCCUAUACUUAUUCCAAAAUUCGUAAUUUUCUUCUUUUGAUAUGAGAUUUUGGUUUCGCAGUCUCCUUUCCGAUAAGGCUUACUGAAGAUUUUUGUUGGAGCUUCCGUUUUCAAUUGAUCCAUCUGAUUUACCAUUUGAAGUGCUUAUUUCGAACCACUGCCAUAGAAUCUCCAAAUGAAGGUCAUUCUCGAGGCAACUAAAGGAUUGACAUGCCUCCAUAGCCCAGAAGCUAAAAUUAUAUAUCAUGAUUUCAAAUUAUUUAUUAUUUUGCUUGCUUCUAUUUGUGAACUCCUACUUUUUCUUGUCCUUUACCUGAGCUCAGUUACAAUCGGAAACCAAGUAUAGGCUGCUCCAUUUUCAUCUGAUUCUCUAUUCAAGAAGUACGAAAAUUCAACGAUGGUGCUACAUUGAUCAAUUUUCACUGUUUUAUGUCAUAUAUCAAACAUUAGAUAGUAUGUUCAUCAAAAUGCAUCAAUGGUGCUAAAUUGAUCAAUUUUCACUGUGUUGUGUUUCCUGCUUUAGAUAGUAUGUUUAUCAAGAGUUUAACCAAUCUUUACAUAUAGGUGUAUCCAAAUUGCUUAAGGCUUGCACAGCUCGAGUGUGUUCAAUAUGAAAUUUAAUAUGAUUUUGAUAUGUUA